Molecule: unclassified non-coding RNA, 170 nt
Filed under: uncultured Acremonium
Lineage: Eukaryota; Fungi; Ascomycota
Description: sequence contains ITS1
Source: RNAcentral
CUGAGUGUUACAACUCCCAAACCCUUUGUGAACCUUACCUUUUUGUUGCUUCGGCGGGACCGCCCCGGCGCCUCUGCGCGCCGGACCCAUGGCACCCGCCGGGGGACCGAAACUCUUGAUUUCCCCGUCAGUGGAAUUUCUCUCUGAGUGGCACAAGCAAAAGAAAAUCA